RNAcentral lists this ribosomal RNA (460 nucleotides) under uncultured bacterium. Its description in RNAcentral is "partial 16S ribosomal RNA". It matches the Rfam family "Bacterial small subunit ribosomal RNA", at positions 338 to 795 of the family's 1533-position model. The record is from RNAcentral.
CCUACGGGGUGCAGCAGUGAGGAAUAUUGGUCAAUGGACGCAAGUCUGAACCAGCCAUGCCGCGUGCAGGAAGACGGCUCUAUGAGUUGUAAACUGCUUUUGUACGAGGGUAAACGCAGAUACGUGUAUCUGUCUGCAAGUAUCGUACGAAUAAGGAUCGGCUAAUUCCGUGCCAGCAGCCGCGGUAAUACGGAGGAUUCAAGCGUUAUCCGGAUUUAUUGGGUUUAAAGGGUGCGUAGGCGGUCGGAUAAGUUAGAGGUGAAAUCCCGAGGCUCAACUUCGGAAGUGCAUCUGAUACUGUUCGGCUAGAGAGUAGUUGCGGUAGGCGGAAUGUAUGGUGUAGCGGUGAAAUGCUUAGAGAUCAUGCAGAACACCGAUUGCGAAGGCAGCUUACCAUGCUACUUCUGACGUUGAGGCACGAAGGCGUGGGUAGCAAACAGGAUUAGAUACCCGAGUAGUC